GAUGAACGCUAGCGGCAGGCCUAAUACAUGCAAGUCGAACGGGAUCCAGAUCAAAGCUUGCUUUGGUCUGGUGAGAGUGGCGCACGGGUGCGUAACGCGUGAGCAACCUACCCUUGUCAGGGGGAUAGCCCGGCGAAAGUCGGAUUAAUACCGCAUGACAUCAUUGAGAGGCAUCUUUCGAUGAUCAAAGAUUUAUCGGACAAGGAUGGGCUCGCGUGACAUUAGCUAGUUGGUAAGGUAACGGCUUACCAAGGCUGCGAUGUCUAGGGGCUCUGAGAGGAGAAUCCCCCACACUGGUACUGAGACACGGACCAGACUCCUACGGGAGGCAGCAGUAAGGAAGAUUGGUCAAGGGACGGAAGUCUGAACCAGCCAUGCCGCGUGCAGGAAGGCGGCCCUAGGGGUUGUAAACUGCUGUUAUACGGGAACAAACGUCGGUACGUGUACCGGUCUGAGUGUACCGUAAGAAUAAGAAUCGGCUAACUCCGUG
RNAcentral lists this ribosomal RNA (490 nucleotides) under uncultured bacterium. Its description in RNAcentral is "partial 16S ribosomal RNA". It matches the Rfam family "Bacterial small subunit ribosomal RNA", at positions 28 to 507 of the family's 1533-position model. The record is from RNAcentral.